Non-coding RNA from Nelumbo nucifera (sacred lotus), 1917 nucleotides. The record is from RefSeq and is a predicted model, not a curated record. Lineage: Eukaryota; Viridiplantae; Streptophyta; Magnoliopsida; Proteales; Nelumbonaceae.
UUUUUCUUUCCCUCACCAUCCUCUCUCAACUCUCGGAAAUGAAACUACCGGAGGAAACCCAUUUCUCAUCUUUCUUUUUCUUCUCUUCUCUUUCUUCAAUCUCUAGCUAUCGUCGAUAAUGCCGCAAUCAUGAAAAACUGCAAUGCUUGAUAGCCCAAUAAUAGAUGUUUGCCCAUAUCAUCGAGAAGAUCGCCCAACUUCAAGCUAUUAGAAAGCUUAGCCUUUAGGGCAACGUUAUCACAGGGGCGAAAGGUACUGUAUCUAGGAUCUGCUCCAUUGCCUGGAUUUCAGGGAUCUUAUCCUUGAGCCGAGUUUCAAUUCCCAUCCGUGCGCGCUUUCAUCCCAAAAAUCAGUUGCAGCUUGUGCAAGUCCUCGCUUGAGAAUGAUUCCUCCACAGAACGAUUAUGCAAGUCCUCGUUUGACAAUAAGUCAUCGUACUGUCAAAACCCCCCUGUACAAUGCGUUCACGGAACCCGCUGCUAGCAACGAGAGAGCGAGCACUCCUCUGAAGACCUGAGGCUUGCAGUAGCCUGUACCACCGAAACAGGGAUCGGAUAAUUCUUCAAUUUUACAUUCAAUUCUUUCAAUCUAUCUGUUCCCUUUAUGCUUUCUCUUUGUCUUUUAUUUUUUUCCUUUUUGCUUCUCUUUAUUUUGUUUGUUGCAGGUUGAACUAAAGCCAAUGGCUGCCGGUAAUUCCUCCUCCAUAAGAAAAUCUUCGUCAUCUCACAAGAAGAAGCACAAAUCGUUAAGCAUGGGUGGAAAAAGUCAAAUGUCCAUUUUGCCCUACUAAUUGAUUUUCAGAGGGAAGGUAUCCUCUCUAGCUACUCUUCACUCUUCCACUACUAAAGGUCAUCGACCAUAGAAGCCGAGGACUCGCAGCGGCCAAAAUUGUCGUCGGUGACGGAAAGCUCCUCUUCACUCUUGCACUAAAGGACGUCGUCGACAAAAAUCGAUAACUCGCAACGGCCAAAAUCGCCAUCGGCGACGGAAAGCUCCUCUUCACUCUCGCGCUAAAGAUCAUCGACGACAUAAAUCUAGGACUCGUAGCGGCCAAAAUCUCCGUUGGCGACGAAAAGCUCCUCUUCACUUUCGCGCUAAACACGUCGUCAGCAAAAAUCAAGGACUCAUAGUGGACAAAAUCGUCGUCAGUGACAGAAAGCCUCCUCCUCAUUCUCGCACUAAAAGUCGUCAGUGACGAAAAGAGGGAGACAGAGAGAAUGAGGGAUCUCUGCAACAAAACCAAACUUAUCUUGAACUGCAUCAGACCCUGCAACCCAUGGCGUGAACGAACCCUUCCUGUGGGAAUUCGGUUUCUGCGUUCGCCAUGUCUGUGAAUAACUAUGGCGCUCUAGCUGAACCUAAUUGCAUGUGGGAAUUUGGUUGCCGUCAUUCCAUUCUCAUCGGUAAAUAAAUCAAAAGCUCCAAGCAAGUAAACAAUUAUCUAGAAAUCUCUUCCCAUAAUGGACCUUUGAGAGUGGAAUCAUAGAAAGCAACAUCCGUUUUCAGAUUAUAUCUUCAAAAACACCAAUGUUUCUUGAGGAGACAUUUGGUGGAUAACCAAAUAGGGGUGAUGAGAUGUUUUGUUUGCAAUGGAACAAGGGAUUAUCCAUUGGGUGAUAGGAAACCGAAAGGGAUUGGAGGAAAAUGAAUGGGGAUAUAAAACGGUGGCGAAGAUGGUAAGAUUUACAUCAAAAUCGGGUGGAAAAUAGGAUUUACAUUAGAAACUAGGGAAAGAGAUUACCCUUCUGCAAGAAGCCCAGGCAACCGUAGCCAAUCCUCAGCGUGUGUGAAGAGGUUUCAUUGCUGGAGGGAUAGUUGUUCAGGUAAAAGAAAAAGAGAGGGAUUGUUGGUCCAUGACAACUUGGCAUGUGAUUGUGCAAACCUUGUUUUUGACGACCGAGUUCCCAUUUAUCAAAA